AUUGAACGCUGGCGGCAUGCUUUACACAUGCAAGUCGAACGGCAGCGCGGGCUUCGGCCUGGCGGCGAGUGGCGAACGGGUGAGUAAUACAUCGGAACGUGCCCAGUAGUGGGGGAUAGCUCGGCGAAAGCCGGAUUAAUACCGCAUACGACCUGAGGGUGAAAGCGGGGGAUCUUCGGGCCUCGCGCUAUUGGAGCGGCCGAUGGCAGAUUAGCUAGUUGGUGGGGUAAAGGCCUACCAAGGCGACGAUCUGUAGCUGGUCUGAGAGGACGACCAGCCACACUGGGACUGAGACACGGCCCAGACUCCUACGGGAGGCAGCAGUGGGGAAUUUUGGACAAUGGGCGAAAGCCUGAUCCAGCAAUGCCGCGUGUGUGAUGAAGGCCUUCGGGUUGUAAAGCACUUUUGGCGGGAACGAAAAGGACUGUGCCAAUACCACGGUUCGAUGACGGUACCCGCAGAAUAAGCACCGGCUAACUACGU
RNAcentral lists this ribosomal RNA (483 nucleotides) under uncultured bacterium. Its description in RNAcentral is "partial 16S ribosomal RNA". It matches the Rfam family "Bacterial small subunit ribosomal RNA", at positions 29 to 506 of the family's 1533-position model. The record is from RNAcentral.